This 497-nucleotide ribosomal RNA is filed under the name uncultured bacterium. RNAcentral's name for it is "partial 16S ribosomal RNA". It matches the Rfam family "Bacterial small subunit ribosomal RNA", at positions 28 to 507 of the family's 1533-position model. The record is from RNAcentral.
GAUGAACGCUGGCGGCGUGCCUAAUACAUGCAAGUCGAGCGAACGGACGAGAAGCUUGCUUCUCUGAUGUUAGCGGCGGACGGGUGAGUAACACGUGGAUAACCUACCUAUAAGACUGGGAUAACUUCGGGAAACCGGAGAUAAUACCGGAUAAUAUUUUGAACCGCAUGGUUCAAAAGUGAAAGACGGUCUUGCUGUCACUUAUAGAUGGAUCCGCGCUGCAUUAGCUAGUUGGUAAGGUAACGGCUUACCAAGGCAACGAUGCAUAGCCGACCUGAGAGGGUGAUCGGCCACACUGGAACUGAGACACGGUCCAGACUCCUACGGGAGGCAGCAGUAGGGAAUCUUCCGCAAUGGGCGAAAGCCUGACGGAGCAACGCCGCGUGAGUGAUGAAGGUCUUCGGAUCGUAAAACUCUGUUAUUAGGGAAGAACAUAUGUGUAAUUAACUGUGCACAUCUUGACGGUACCUAAUCAGAAAGCAACGGCUAACUACGUG